GCAAUGGACGAAAGUCUGACCGAGCAACGCCGCGUGAGUGAAGAAGGUUUUCGGAUCGUAAAGCUCUGUUGUAAGUCAAGAACGUGUGUGAGAGUGGAAAGUUCACACAGUGACGGUAGCUUACCAGAAAGGGACGGCUAACUACGUGCCAGCAGCCGCGGUAAUACGUUAGGUCCCGAGCGUUGUCCGGAUUUAUUGGGCGUAAAGGGAGCGCAGGCGGUCAGGAAAGUCUGGAGUAAAAGGCUAUGGCUCAACCAUAGUGUGCUCUGGAAACUGUCUGACUUGAGUGCAGAAGGGGAGAGUGGAAUUCCAUGUGUAGCGGUGAAAUGCGUAGAUAUAUGGAGGAACACCAGUGGCGAAAGCGGCUCUCUGGUCUGUCACUGACGCUGAGGCUCGAAAGCGUGGGUAGCGAACAGGAUUAGAUACCCUGGUAGUCCACGCCGUAAACGAUGAGUGCUAUGUGUUAGGCCCUUUCCGGGGCUUAGUGCCGGAGCUAACGCAAUAAGCACUCCGCCUGGGGAGUACGACCGCAAGGUUGAAACUCAAAGGAAUUGACGGGGGCCCGCACAAGCGGUGGAGCAUGUGGUUUAAUUCGAA
Molecule: ribosomal RNA, 597 nt
Filed under: Streptococcus mutans
Lineage: Bacteria; Bacillati; Bacillota; Bacilli; Lactobacillales; Streptococcaceae
Description: bacterial SSU rRNA
Rfam family: Bacterial small subunit ribosomal RNA
Source: RNAcentral